CAGCACUGCUCGGAUCAUUAUCAGUGGCUGUCCACCCGGGGUGAUUCCUCCCAUCCAGGGUGCAUCUGACAGUAUCUGGAGGACAGAGUUGUGAAGACUACUGGUCAAGUAUUUUGUAAACAUCUUUCAGUUGUUGAGCUUAUCUGAUCUUUUUCUCAUGACUGUGAUGGACUUAUGGGAGGAAUAUGACAGACGCAUAGUGCCCUUCACCUUGCAUUCUGUCACAGACACACGAUACCAACAUGCAGUAUUACUGUUUUUCAAGAAAGAAGAGGAGAAGCACUGGCUUUCCAAAUUGUGAGAGAAGAGUCUCAUUUGCAUGGUCUGUGAGGUUGGCAUCUACGUUCUAACAUUAGAGGAGUUCGCUGGAUUAUGAUGUAACUUGCUUGCAUCUCUUGCCCAUCCCAGCUUCCUGGUUGCCACUGAUUGAGCAGCUUUCUCCAGCCAGCACCCUUCCCAUGCCAUUUCUGCUUUACAGCCAGCCAACCAUGCAAGUGCUGAGCCCUCAGAACCUUGAGCCCAAAACCCCUCUCUUCCUUUACAUUGCAAGUAUUAGAGUAUUUUGUUCCAGCAGUGGGAAAGUGACUAAUACAGUGACACAUCACAUGCAUUCCACUUAAGUGUGUGGCUCAAAGAAUUUUUUACAAAGAAAAUAUUCUUAUGUAAUCACCUUCUCAAUUACAGUUUCCGAGAACGUUACCCAGCAUCUAAGAACAAUUCUUACAUCCAUACAUUCACCCACAUGGUUUAAUCUGGCCAGUUCGAUAUUUAUGUAAAUGGGGUCACAAAGAGUCCACACUUCUCUAGAGGCUCCUUUACUACCACCGUGUCUCAUGGAUUUAUCAUGUUGUUUCAUGUGGCAAUGACUUGUGUUCUGCUGUAAGAAUACUUGACAGGCUGAGGACU
Long non-coding RNA from Chinchilla lanigera (long-tailed chinchilla), 906 nucleotides. RefSeq lists it as uncharacterized. NCBI's taxonomy places the organism in Eukaryota, Metazoa, Chordata, Mammalia, Rodentia, Chinchillidae. The transcript is spliced from 4 exons. The record is from RefSeq and is a predicted model, not a curated record.